UGAAUGUACUGGAGGCAUGCCUAGAAUGGCGGCAUAAUCUAAAAGUCAUCUUACUUCCGAUCAGGAUGUUUUCAAUCUUAUUUUUAAUUGUGUGUUUAUCUCUUUCCCAUAUUCACAAUACUCCAAGCCAAAUUAGUACUUGUAGUUAAUAUUAGUAAAUAUUAAUAUUACUAAAAUAUAUUCUGACUAAAUAACAAUAUUAGUAAAAAUUAAUAUUAGUAAAUUAACAUUACUAGGUCCUCAUAGGGCUGAUCUGUUUGAUAUGCUUAUUUCCAACUCUGCAAUAAAAGGUAACUAAAUCUAAAGAUGGUUAAAAGGUAUCACUCUUAAAAUUAUUUCUUCUCCAUUAGGGUGAACCUGGAGAGCCUGGAUUGGUCGGUUUCCAGGGACCUCCCGGCCGCCCUGGGCAUGUGGGACAGAUGGGUCCAGUUGGAGCUCCAGGGAGACCAGUAAGUACCUGGACACAGGUGCCCACUCUAGGACCAUCGUCCGGUCAUCCCUUCCAGAUGCCACUUCUUCAAUCGUUGACUCCAGAUGAGAGCUUUAAGAACAACUAUGAUGCUUAUAGGCGUAGCAGAGAACAUCAAGACAAAACGGACCAUUCCUUGCACACAUUUUGCUGCUGUUAAGGUUGAAGAAUAAGGGCUUAAAAUUAUGGUCACCAGCUCUCUGCCAGUUAUGUCAAAUUUUGACUUGGUCCCAGCAGGGUGCCCUUCCAUCCCCACCC
RNAcentral lists this small RNA (727 nucleotides) under Pan troglodytes (chimpanzee). Its description in RNAcentral is "processed transcript". The record is from RNAcentral. Lineage: Eukaryota; Metazoa; Chordata; Mammalia; Primates; Hominidae.